GUGGGGAAUCUUCCGCAAUGGACGAAAGUCUGACGGAGCAACGCCGCGUGAGUGAAGAAGGUUUUCGGAUCGUAAAGCUCUUUCGUUAGGGACGAACGUGCUCUUUGUGAAUAAUGAGGAGUAAUGACGGUACCUAAAUAAGAAGCCACGGCUAACUACGUGCCAGCAGCCGCGGUAAUACGUAGGUGGCAAGCGUUGUCCGGAAUUAUUGGGCGUAAAGCGCGCGCAGGCGGGAUAUCAAGUCUGUCUUAAAAGUGCGAGGCUCAACCUCGUGAGGGGACAGAAACUGGUAUUCUUGAGUGUCGGAGAGGAAAGUGGAAUUCCAAGUGUAGCGGUGAAAUGCGUAGAGAGUUGGAAGAACACCAGUGGCGAAGGCGACUUUCUGGACGAUGUCUGACGCUGAGGCGCGAAAGCUAGGGGAGCGAACGGGAUUAGAAACCCGUGUAGUCC
Molecule: ribosomal RNA, 450 nt
Filed under: uncultured bacterium
Lineage: Bacteria
Description: partial 16S ribosomal RNA
Rfam family: Bacterial small subunit ribosomal RNA
Source: RNAcentral